RNAcentral lists this ribosomal RNA (406 nucleotides) under uncultured bacterium. RNAcentral describes it as "partial 16S ribosomal RNA". It matches the Rfam family "Bacterial small subunit ribosomal RNA", at positions 28 to 526 of the family's 1533-position model. The record is from RNAcentral.
GACGAACGCUGGCGGCGUGCUUAACACAUGCAAGUCGAACGAGUGGCGCACGGGUGAGUAAUACGUGGGUAACCUGCCCUCUUUAUGGGAUAAGCCUUGGAAACGGGGUCUAAUAACGAAUAAAGGGGGAUGGGCUCGCGGCGUAUCAGCUUGUGGGGGGGGUUAUGGCCUACCGAGGCGGUGACGGGUAGCCGGCCGGAGAGGUUGACCGGCCACAUGGGGAAGGGGAUACGGCCCAGACUCCUACGGGAGGCAGCAGUGGGGGAUAUUGCACAAGGGGCGAAAGCCUGAUGCAGCGACGCCGCGUGGGGGAUGAAGGCUUUCGGGUUGUAAACCUCGUUCGCUAGCGAACGGGUAGGUGGAGAAGAAGCGCCGGCUAACUACGUGCCAGCAGCCGCGGUAAUUC